This 380-nucleotide ribosomal RNA is filed under the name uncultured eukaryote. Its description in RNAcentral is "partial 18S ribosomal RNA". It matches the Rfam family "Eukaryotic small subunit ribosomal RNA", at positions 592 to 976 of the family's 1831-position model. The record is from RNAcentral.
CAAUAGCGUAUAUUAAAGUUGUUGCAGUUAAAAAGCUCGUAGUUGGAUUUGUGGCGUACGGUGCGUUCCGGGCACUUGUUGUCUGAGUAACCUGCUGUUGCCAUCCUUGGGUGGAACCUGUGUGGCAUUAGGUUGUCGUGCAGGGGAUGCCCAUCAUUUACUGUGAAAAAAUUAGAGUGUUCAAAGCAGGCUUAUGCCGUUGAAUAUAUUAGCAUGGAAUAAUGAGAUAGGACUUUCUUGCUAUUUUGUUGGUUUGCGCAAAGAGGUAAUGAUUAAUAGGGACAGUUGGGGGUAUUCGUAUUCCAUUGUCAGAGGUGAAAUUCUUGGAUUUUUGGAAGACGAACUACUGCGAAAGCAUUUACCAAGGAUGUUUUCAUUAA